GAUUAAAUGGCUGAAGUUUAGGCAAUAGAUUGUAAAUCUAUUUAUAAGAAUAUAUUCUUUUUAAUCA
Molecule: transfer RNA, 67 nt
Filed under: Eristalinus sepulchralis
Lineage: Eukaryota; Metazoa; Arthropoda; Insecta; Diptera; Syrphidae
Description: tRNA-Tyr
Rfam family: tRNA
About the family: Transfer RNA (tRNA) molecules are approximately 80 nucleotides in length. Their secondary structure includes four short double-helical elements and three loops (D, anti-codon, and T loops).
Source: RNAcentral